AUACGGAGGGUGCGAGCGUUAAUCGGAAUUACUGGGCGUAAAGCGUACGUAGGCGGUUUGCUAAGUCAGAUGUGAAGGCCCCGGGCUUAACCUGGGAACUGCAUUUGAUACUGGCAGACUAGAGUAUGAUAGAGGGGGGUAGAAUUCCUGGUGUAGCGGUGAAAUGCGUAGAUAUCAGGAGGAAUACCAGUGGCGAAGGCGGCCCCCUGGAUCAAUACUGACGCUGAGGUACGAAAGCGUGGGGAGCGAACAGGAUUAGAAACCCUAGUAGUCC
RNAcentral lists this ribosomal RNA (274 nucleotides) under uncultured bacterium. RNAcentral's name for it is "partial 16S ribosomal RNA". It matches the Rfam family "Bacterial small subunit ribosomal RNA", at positions 523 to 796 of the family's 1533-position model. The record is from RNAcentral.